AGGGAGCUAGUCCAAGGCAAAGACCUCUGAUUUCGGCUCAGAAAAUCGUGACUAAAUUUCGCGGCCCCCUU
Molecule: transfer RNA, 71 nt
Filed under: Chagunius chagunio
Lineage: Eukaryota; Metazoa; Chordata; Actinopteri; Cypriniformes; Cyprinidae
Description: tRNA-Arg
Source: RNAcentral